GAUGAACGCUGGCGGCGUGCCUAAUACAUGCAAGUCGAGCGAAUGGAUUAGGAGCUUGCUCUUAUGAAGUUAGCGGCGGACGGGUGAGUAACACGUGGGUAACCUGCCCAUAAGACUGGGAUAACUCCGGGAAACCGGGGCUAAUACCGGAUAACAUUUUGAACCGCAUGGUUCGAAAUUGAAAGGCGGCUUCGUCUGUCACUUAUGGAUGGACGCGCGUCGCAUUAGCUAGUUGGUGGGGUAACGGCUCACCAAGGCAACGAUGCGUAGCCGACCUGAGAGGGUGAUCGGCCACACUGGGACUGAGACACGGCCCAGACUCCUACGGGAGGCAGCAGUAGGGAAUCUUCCGCAAUGGACGAAAGUCUGACGGAGCAACGCCGCGUGAGUGAUGAAGGCUUUCGGGUCGUAAAACUCUGUUGUUAGGGAAGAACAAGUGCUAGUUGAAUAAGCUGGCACCUUGACGGUACCUAACCAGAAAGCCACGGCUAACUACGUGCCAGCAGCCGCCGUAA
RNAcentral lists this ribosomal RNA (515 nucleotides) under uncultured bacterium. RNAcentral's name for it is "partial 16S ribosomal RNA". It matches the Rfam family "Bacterial small subunit ribosomal RNA", at positions 28 to 523 of the family's 1533-position model. The record is from RNAcentral.